GACGAACGCUGGCGGCGCGCCUAACACAUGCAAGUCGAACGAGCGAGAGAGAGCUUGCUUUCUCAAGCGAGUGGCGAACGGGUGAGUAACGCGUGAGGAACCUGCCUCAAAGAGGGGGACAACAGUUGGAAACGACUGCUAAUACCGCAUAAGCCCACGACCCGGCAUCGGGUAGAGGGAAAAGGAGCAAUCCGCUUUGAGAUGGCCUCGCGUCCGAUUAGCUAGUUGGUGAGGUAACGGCCCACCAAGGCGACGAUCGGUAGCCGGACUGAGAGGUUGAACGGCCACAUUGGGACUGAGACACGGCCCAGACUCCUACGGGAGGCAGCAGUGGGGAAUAUUGCACAAUGGGGGAAACCCUGAUACAGCGACGCCGCGUGGAGGAAGAAGGUCUUCGGAUUGUAAACUCCUGUUGUUGAGGAAGAUAAUGACGGUACUCAACAAGGAAGUGACGGCUAACUACGUG
Molecule: ribosomal RNA, 466 nt
Filed under: uncultured bacterium
Lineage: Bacteria
Description: partial 16S ribosomal RNA
Rfam family: Bacterial small subunit ribosomal RNA
Source: RNAcentral